Molecule: ribosomal RNA, 254 nt
Filed under: uncultured bacterium
Lineage: Bacteria
Description: partial 16S ribosomal RNA
Rfam family: Bacterial small subunit ribosomal RNA
Source: RNAcentral
CACGUAGGGUGCGAGCGUUGUCCGGAAUUAUUGGGCGUAAAGAGCUCGUAGGCGGUGUGUCGCGUCGGCCGUGAAAACCUGCAGCUUAACUGUGGGCUUGCGGUCGAUACGGGCAUCACUGGAGUUCGGCAGGGGAGACUGGAAUUCCUGGUGUAGCGGUGAAAUGCUUAGAUAUCGGGAGGAACACCAGUGGCGAAGGCGGUGCUCUGGGCCGGAACUGACGCUGAGGAGCGAAAGCGUGGGUAGCAAACAGG